CACGCCGUAAACGAUGGGUACUAGGUGUAGGGGGUAUCAACUCCCCCUGUGCCGUCGUAAACACAGUAAGUACCCCGCCUGGGGAGUACGGUCGCAAGAUUAAAACUCAAAGGAAUUGACGGGGGCCCGCACAAGCAGCGGAGCAUGUGGUUUAAUUCGAGGCAACGCGAAGAACCUUACCUAGACUUGACAUCUCCUGAAUUACCCUUAAUCGGGGAAGCCCUUCGGGGCAGGAAGACAGGUGG
This 245-nucleotide ribosomal RNA is filed under the name uncultured Clostridiaceae bacterium. RNAcentral's name for it is "partial 16S ribosomal RNA". It matches the Rfam family "Bacterial small subunit ribosomal RNA", at positions 796 to 1041 of the family's 1533-position model. The record is from RNAcentral. Lineage: Bacteria; Bacillati; Bacillota; Clostridia; Eubacteriales; Clostridiaceae.